GAAAUGCGAUAAGUAGUGUGAAUUGCAGAAUUCAGUGAAUCAUCGAAUCUUUGAACGCACAUUGCGCCCUUUGGUAUUCCUUAGGGCAUGCCUGUUCGAGCGUCAUUUAAACCUUCAAGCCCUGCUUGGUGUUGGGUGCCUGUCCCCGUCUCCGCGCGUGGACUCGCCCCAAAGUGAUUGGCAGCCGGCGUACUGGUCCCGGAGCGCAGCACAUGUCGCGCAAACGAGUGCCUUGGUACGGCGGCGUCCAUAAGCCCCUCUCUCACGCUCUUGACCUCGGAUCAGGUAGGGAUACCCGCUGAACUUAAGC
Molecule: unclassified non-coding RNA, 310 nt
Filed under: plant metagenome
Description: partial contains 5.8S ribosomal RNA, internal transcribed spacer 2, and large subunit ribosomal RNA
Rfam family: 5.8S ribosomal RNA (bases 1-105)
Source: RNAcentral